UCAAGCCACAGUGAACUGAACACUGAACAGGUGUUUCCCUGCCCCCACCCUGCUGCCCUCUGGAUGCUGAGAGCAAGGUGGUAACUGGACACAGAAUUUGCUUCUGUGCUUUCCUGCAAGGAUACAUCCCUGCACUUUAGCAAUCCACUGCCUUCCUGUACUUUAUUAGCUCAACAUAUUCGAGAAGGAGGAAAAUCAUGAAAAACAACAACAACAACAACAAAACUAUUUCUCGUGUCCCCUCCCUCCACUUCUGAAGCCACUGCUGCAACUGCUGACUGAAGUGUCUGCGUGUAAAAUGUGCUCUGUCCUUUGGGAGAAAACAAAGGGUUAUUAAAAGAGCAGCCUCCUGCACUGCCAGCAGAGUGGCGAGGCUUGUCAGCGUCAACCCUUCCAACCUUCCUCAGCUGAAUUCUGCCAUCUUCCUCUUUGUCUUGACUGGGACAGUUUCAGUUGUCAUGGUGUAGACACACACAGUCCCCGUUCCCCUUGUUAAGCAUGCCGAACUCUAAGCAAGCCUGGCGCAUGCUCUCUGCCUGGAUGUCUACGAGUGAGUUCCUGGGUCAGAGAUAAUGUGUGGAACAUCGACAUGUCUACCUUCAGGUUCCUACUUUGAGUUCCUGCUUUGAGUCCCCACAACGAUGGACCAUCAACUAUACGAUGAAAUGUCCCCUAAAUUGC
Mastomys coucha (southern multimammate mouse) is the source of this 681-nucleotide long non-coding RNA. RefSeq lists it as uncharacterized. Lineage: Eukaryota; Metazoa; Chordata; Mammalia; Rodentia; Muridae. The record is from RefSeq and is a predicted model, not a curated record. The transcript is spliced from 2 exons.